AUGUGCACGUGUGUGCACGUGUGUGCAUGCAUGUGCACAUGUGUGUGCAUGUGUGUGUACUUGUGUGCGUGUGUGCAUGUGUGCAUGUGCAUGCACGUGUGUGCAUGCGUGUAUGUGUGUGCACAUGUGUGCAUGCGUGUGCGUGUGUGUAUGUGCACGCGUGUAUGUGUGUGCGUGCGUGUGCGUGUGUGCGCGUUCAUGUGUGUGUGCAUGUGCAUGUGUACUUUGUGUGCGUGCAUGUGUGUGCGUGUGCGUAUAUGUGUGUGCGUGUGUGCAUGCAUGUGUGUGCAUGCGUGUAUGUGUGUGCGUGUAUGUGUGUGCGCAUGCAUAUGCGUGUGUAUGCGUGCGUGUGCGUGUGUGCACGUGCGUAUAUGUGUGUGCAUGUGUGUGCGCGUGUGUGCGCGUGCGUGUUUGUGUGUGUGUGCGUGUGUGCGCGUUCAUGUGUGUGUGCAUGUGCAGGUGUACUUUGUGUGUGUGCACGUGCGUAUAUGUGUGUGCAUGAGUGUGUGUGUGCGCGUGUGUGCACACAGGAUUCCGGGGGGGCAGCGAGGCCUCAGCAAAGGCGAGUGGAGAAGGCGAGCCAGCAGGGCUGCUGCCGGCCACGGGGUUCCAGCGCGAGCCGUGGAGGCCUGGGUCGGUCGGGCUCCACGCGCGGCAGCUGGGAGCGCAGGGAGCCGCGGAGGCUGUCCAGGGCAGCCCGGAGGGGGGCCCGGGGAGGAGGAGCUUACGUUUCGGAAACUCAGAGUGGGGUCCAGGGGCGGGUGGGGGCCCUCCUUGCCACGCGAGGGCUCCUGGAAGGUCCCGUCCUUGGAAGCCCCAGCGAGGGGUUACUGGCGCCCCCGAGGGCUGCUCUGCGCGCGAGGGGUUACUGGCGCCCCCGAGGGCUGCCCUGCUCUCCCUGCGGGAGCUCGGCUGCGGCACCGCCGGCACUGCCGCGCAGUCCGGGCCCUGGACAGACUGCGCUUGCGCAACAGCCACCUCGCAUUCCCGGGCCGAGAGAAGACAUCUCGCGAGGAAGUCCUCUGCUCUUUUAGGUUUGUUUUUUGUUUGUUUGUUUGUUUGUUUUUGCAUCAAAUUGCCCUCGAGGACGGGUCCCUGCACCCACGCCCUGGGCCCAUCCUGCUGGACCACACUGGCCCCGCGGCCUCAGAGCACCGGGCAGCUGACCACACAUGGCCUUACUCCCUAGAAGGCCACCUUUUGUCGUCCUGGGGGUGA
RNAcentral lists this long non-coding RNA (1218 nucleotides) under Oryctolagus cuniculus (rabbit). RNAcentral describes it as "lncRNA (ENSOCUG00000035402.1)". The record is from RNAcentral. Lineage: Eukaryota; Metazoa; Chordata; Mammalia; Lagomorpha; Leporidae.